This 959-nucleotide ribosomal RNA is filed under the name Salmonella enterica subsp. enterica serovar Corvallis. RNAcentral describes it as "partial 23S ribosomal RNA". It matches the Rfam family "Bacterial large subunit ribosomal RNA", at positions 696 to 1574 of the family's 2925-position model. The record is from RNAcentral. Lineage: Bacteria; Pseudomonadati; Pseudomonadota; Gammaproteobacteria; Enterobacterales; Enterobacteriaceae.
UAAGUUGCAGGGUAUAGACCCGAAACCCGGUGAUCUAGCCAUGGGCAGGUUGAAGGUUGGGUAACACUAACUGGAGGACCGAACCGACUAAUGUUGAAAAAUUAGCGGAUGACCUGUGGCUGGGGGUGAAAGGCCAAUCAAACCGGGAGAUAGCUGGUUCUCCCCGAAAGCUAUUUAGGUAGCGCCUCGUGAAUUCAUCUCCGGGGGUAGAGCACUGUUUCGGCUAGGGGGCCAUCCCGGCUUACCAACCCGAUGCAAACUGCGAAUACCGGAGAAUGUUAUCACGGGAGACACACGGCGGGUGCUAACGUCCGUCGUGAAGAGGGAAACAACCCAGACCGCCAGCUAAGGUCCCAAAGUCAUGGUUAAGUGGGAAACGAUGUGGGAAGGCCCAGACAGCCAGGAUGUUGGCUUAGAAGCAGCCAUCAUUUAAAGAAAGCGUAAUAGCUCACUGGUCGAGUCGGCCUGCGCGGAAGAUGUAACGGGGCUAAACCAUGCACCGAAGCUGCGGCAGCGAACGUAUCACUUAAAGCGAUUCAGCGGGUUACGAUUGACGGAGCGAAGCGACGUCAAAGCGUAUACAAAGUCGAGUCGGUUUAAGGAUACGUUCGUUGGGUAGGGGAGCGUUCUGUAAGCCUGUGAAGGUGUGUCGUGAGGCAUGCUGGAGGUAUCAGAAGUGCGAAUGCUGACAUAAGUAACGAUAAAGCGGGUGAAAAGCCCGCUCGCCGGAAGACCAAGGGUUCCUGUCCAACGUUAAUCGGGGCAGGGUGAGUCGACCCCUAAGGCGAGGCCGAAAGGCGUAGUCGAUGGGAAACGGGUUAAUAUUCCCGUACUUGGUGUUACUGCGAAGGGGGGACGGAGAAGGCUAUGUUGGCCGGGCGACGGUUGUCCCGGUUUAAGCGUGUAGGCUGGUUUUCCAGGCAAAUCCGGAAAAUCAAGGCUGAGGCGUGAUGACGAGG